RNAcentral lists this ribosomal RNA (209 nucleotides) under uncultured Streptococcus sp. Its description in RNAcentral is "partial 16S ribosomal RNA". It matches the Rfam family "Bacterial small subunit ribosomal RNA", at positions 1175 to 1382 of the family's 1533-position model. The record is from RNAcentral. Lineage: Bacteria; Bacillati; Bacillota; Bacilli; Lactobacillales; Streptococcaceae.
GGGGAUGACGUCAAAUCAUCCAUGCCCCUUAUGACCUGGGCUACACACGUGCUACAAUGGUUGGUACAACGAGUUGCGAGUCGGUGACGGCGAGCUAAUCUCUUAAAGCCAAUCUCAGUUCGGAUUGUAGGCUGCAACUCGCCUACAUGAAGUCGGAAUCGCUAGUAAUCGCGGAUCAGCACGCCGCGGUGAAUACGUUCCCGGGCCUU